ACAAGCGGUGGAGUAUGUGGUUUAAUUCGACGCAACGCGCAGAACCUUUACCUGGUCUUGACAUCCCGGGAAUCUUUCUGAAAGGAGAGAGUGCCUCGCAAGAGGAGCCUGGUGACAGGUGCUGCAUGGCUGUCGUCAGCUCGUGUCGUGAGAUGUUCGGGUUAAGUCCCGCAACGAGCGCAACCCUUGUCUUUAAUUGCCAGCAUUCAGUUGGGCACUUUAAAGAGACUGCCGGUGUUAAGCCGGAGGAAGGUGGGGAUGACGUCAAGUCCUCAUGGCCCUUAUAGGUGGGGCUACACACGUCAUACAAUGGCUGGUACAAAGGGUUGCCAACCCGCGAGGGGGAGCCAAUCCCAUAAAGCCAGUCGUAGUCCGGAUCGCAGUCUGCAACUCGACUGCGUGAAGUCGGAAUCGCUAGUAAUCGUGGAUCAGCAUGUCACGGUGAAUACGUUCCCGGGUCUU
Molecule: ribosomal RNA, 462 nt
Filed under: uncultured Anaerolineaceae bacterium
Lineage: Bacteria; Bacillati; Chloroflexota; Anaerolineae; Anaerolineales; Anaerolineaceae
Description: bacterial SSU rRNA
Rfam family: Bacterial small subunit ribosomal RNA
Source: RNAcentral